AUCAAAGUGGAUUCUAGCUUAUAGCAACCCUGUAUGACAGAGUAGAACUGAGCCAAGUUCUUAACUGCUGUGCUACUAGGGCUUCAACAAUUGGGUAGGGCUAUGCAAAUAAGGUACCUGUGGCCUACCAAGGGGGUUGGACAGCUUGCUAAUAAUGCAAUUAAGGUGCAUGGAACUCUGUGAGGGUAGGGACCAUGCAAAUAAGAUAUAUGGAGCCCUAACGAGGGGGUUGGUCAGUUUUGCCAUUCCAGUAGGCUUAAAAUCCCAGAGGUGGAAGGGAGUACCUGACUACCACCAAGAAGAGAGAUGAGUGGAGCGUAUCCUCUGCAGCAUGGAUCCCUAUGCUGAGGCCCUCCUAGGCCCAGGAGACAGAGAAAGAAGAGAGCCGCAACACCAAAGACAGCAAGAUGGCAAGAAGCAGCGGCAGAGCAAUGGUGGCAGCAGAACCAGGAGACUAGCAGGAAGGGCAAGUCUGGAAGCUCGGCUGAAAUCCGUUCAGCAUCACAGCGACACACAAGCCUCCCCUGACAGACAGAUGGUGGCUGGACAUGAGGUACGCUGACCAGGAUUCAAACCCAGCUCUUCUGCAUGGAAGCUUUUGGGUACAUAUGAAGCUAUUGAAAACACCAUGUUGUGAGGUGUGCAACCCCCAUGCAGUGAACAAUUUGACAUUUGGUCCUGGCUCCUGAGAGCUGAAACAUGCCUGAGACCAACGAGUGGGGCUGACCAGACCAGGAGUGACCACCUGGGGGCCUGAAGCUGACUGAACCUCAGGAGGCAUGAUGUCAUCUAUCGUGGCCAUGUGGCGAGGCCAAUAAAGGCCUUGGAAGACAAAGGCUCAAUAGUGCUUCCUAGGUAGAGAGAGGGAACAUCUGCUUUCAGGAGAAUAAGU
Loxodonta africana (African savanna elephant) is the source of this 892-nucleotide long non-coding RNA. RefSeq lists it as uncharacterized. The transcript is spliced from 3 exons. NCBI's taxonomy places the organism in Eukaryota, Metazoa, Chordata, Mammalia, Proboscidea, Elephantidae. The record is from RefSeq and is a predicted model, not a curated record.